This 585-nucleotide long non-coding RNA is filed under the name Medicago truncatula (barrel medic). RNAcentral describes it as "long non-coding RNA (MTRU_LNC005611)". Lineage: Eukaryota; Viridiplantae; Streptophyta; Magnoliopsida; Fabales; Fabaceae. The record is from RNAcentral.
CUGCAAACAAACAUUUUUUAUAUCAUCAAAUUCAAAUAUAUUUCAUUUUGAUCAUAUAUAAUUACUUGCUAAGAGGGUAACACUCACUCACUCCGGUUCUAUAUAUGUAUAAAAUCCAAUGAAAUAUUAAACUUACCGAAGCGGUGACAAAGACAAGGAGGGCGGAAGCAACAAUGGAUCCGAGGAGUUGAGCGAUGAUGUAAACGAUACCACGGAGGAGGGUGAUGUUACCACCAACGAAGGCACCGAAGGUGACAGCGGGGUUGACAUGUCCACCGGAGAUGUUAGCACCAACGGAGACAGCAACAAAGAGAGCGAAUGCAUGGGCGAUGGAGGCAGAGAUGAGACCGGCAGGGGUGGCAGCACCGUCGUUGGUAAGCUUGUUGUAUGCGAUACCGGAACCUGAACCGGCAAAGACAAAGAUGAAGGUUGAGAUGAACUCAGCCAAACCUGCUUUCAAGGUGUCUGGGUGAGUUGCCUCUUGAGGUGUUCCUACGGCGAUGUUUCUGAUAGGCAUGUUGAAAUAAUCGCUUUUGUUAACAAACACUCACUCUUUUUUUUUAGUUACUGUGAAAGCGCUUUCUG